ACCUAAUGUACCACAGCCCUUUACCCCAGGAGUCUGUCUGUGACAGGACCAUGGAGAGUUCAAGAGGAGCCAAGGCUUUCUUCUAUGACCACCUCUUCAUCCAAGUCCAGUGGCAAGGCAAAAAUCAGGGUGGCUGAUGUUGGCUCAGGAGGCAGCAGAUGACCUUAGCUUCUUCCAUGUCUGAUCAAGCUCGAAGCAUUCCACAGCACCUGCUUCCACCACUUUUAUGGCCAUCAGAACAAAUUGUUCUCAUCUGCCCAUUCCACUGGGAGAAGUCUGCACAUGCUUCACGGUGUGUACAAAGGCAUGGAGAGCAGAUAUUCUUAGCUUUUGGGAGUCGUGAACUUCUUUGGCAGCUGUACAAGGACCCCUUCACAG
Molecule: long non-coding RNA, 378 nt
Filed under: Monodelphis domestica (gray short-tailed opossum)
Lineage: Eukaryota; Metazoa; Chordata; Mammalia; Didelphimorphia; Didelphidae
Description: lncRNA (ENSMODG00000035019.2)
Source: RNAcentral